CAGUGGUAGCAUGAAGCAAUAACAGAGUUGAGUCUACAGACAAUCACGUCACAGGAAGGUUGCAGAUGGACCGUGAAGACAGUGCACCCUCUUCCUCCCGUAGUGUGGCCAUGGGUGCAAGGCUGCUCUUCUGUGUAGCAGUUUGUCUCCUUGAGGCUGGAUCUUUUGAUGCCAAAGUAACUCAGACUCCAGGAUAUCUGGUCAAGGAGAAAGGACAGAAAGCAAAUAUGAGCUGCACCCCUGAAAAAGGACAUACUGCCUUUUUCUGGUAUCAACAGAACGAAAAAAGAGAACUUAAAUUUUUGAUUAACUUUCGAAAUGAAGAAAUUAUUGAUCAAACAGACUUGGUCAAGAAGCGAUUCUUAGCUAAGUGCCGCUCAAACUCACACUGCAGCCUGGAAAUCCAGUCCUCAGAGGCAGGAGACUCAGCACUAUACCUCUGUGCCAGCAGUGAAUACACAGCGCUGAAAUGCUCUUUCGGUGCCAGUGUUGUCCAGACUCCAACAGGUCUUGUCCAAGAGAAAGGAGAAAAAAGCAAAGAUGAGCUACAAAGUUCUGCAAAGGAGUACACUGCUGUUUAUUGGUACCAACAAAGGCGGAACAAAGAGCCAAGUUUCUUGGUUUACUUUGAGAGUCAACAAGUUAUUGAACAAAUAGACUUGGUCAAAGAAUGA
Peromyscus leucopus (white-footed mouse) is the source of this 674-nucleotide non-coding RNA. Lineage: Eukaryota; Metazoa; Chordata; Mammalia; Rodentia; Cricetidae. The record is from the annotation of a RefSeq genome assembly.